This 497-nucleotide ribosomal RNA is filed under the name uncultured bacterium. RNAcentral describes it as "partial 16S ribosomal RNA". It matches the Rfam family "Bacterial small subunit ribosomal RNA", at positions 28 to 507 of the family's 1533-position model. The record is from RNAcentral.
GAUGAACGCUGGCGGCGUGCCUAAUACAUGCGAGUCGAGCGAACAGACGAGGAGCUUGCUCCUCUGACGUUAGCGGCGGACGGGUGAGUAACACGUGGAUAACCUACCUAUAAGACUGGGAUAACUUCGGGAAACCGGAGCUAAUACCGGAUAAUAUAUUGAACCGUAUGGUUCAAUAGUGAAAGACGGUUUUGCUGUCACUUAUAGAUGGAUCCGCGCCGCAUUAGCUAGUUGGUAAGGUAACGGCUUACCAAGGCAACGAUGCGUAGCCGACCUGAGAGGGUGAUCGGCCACACUGGAACUGAGACACGGUCCAGACUCCUACGGGAGGCAGCAGUAGGGAAUCUUCCGCAAUGGGCGAAAGCCUGACGGAGCAACGCCGCGUGAGUGAUGAAGGUCUUCGGAUCGUAAAACUCUGUUAUUAGGGAAGAACAAAUGUGUAAGUAACUAUGCACGUCUUGACGGUACCUAAUCAGAAAGCCACGGCUAACUACGUG